GAUGAACGCUGGCGGCGUGCCUAAUACAUGCAAGUCGAGCGAACAGGCGAGGAGCUUGCUCCUUUGACGUUAGCGGCGGACGGGUGAGUAACACGUGGGUAACCUACCUAUAAGACUGGGAUAACUUCGGGAAACCGGAGCUAAUACCGGAUAAUAUUUCGAACCGCAUGGUUCGAUAGUGAAAGAUGGCUCUGCUAUCACUUAUAGAUGGACCUGCGCCGUAUUAGCUAGUUGGUAAGGUAACGGCUUACCAAGGCAACGAUACGUAGCCGACCUGAGAGGGUGAUCGGCCACACUGGAACUGAGACACGGUCCAGACUCCUACGGGAGGCAGCAGUAGGGAAUCUUCCGCAAUGGGCGAAAGCCUGACGGAGCAACGCCGCGUGAGUGAUGAAGGUCUUCGGAUCGUAAAACUCUGUUAUUAGGGAAGAACAAACGUGUAAGUAACUGUGCACGUCUCGACGGUACCUAAUCAGAAAGCCACGGCUAACUACGUG
RNAcentral lists this ribosomal RNA (497 nucleotides) under uncultured bacterium. RNAcentral's name for it is "partial 16S ribosomal RNA". It matches the Rfam family "Bacterial small subunit ribosomal RNA", at positions 28 to 507 of the family's 1533-position model. The record is from RNAcentral.